GUCUACGGCCAUACCACCCUGAACGCGCCCGAUCUCGUCUGAUCUCGGAAGCUAAGCAGGGUCGGGCCUGGUUAGUACUUGGAUGGGAGAAAGCUUCGGCUCCCAGCGAGGGAUCCUUGGUGCUUUCUGUA
Molecule: ribosomal RNA, 131 nt
Organism: Oryctolagus cuniculus (rabbit)
Lineage: Eukaryota; Metazoa; Chordata; Mammalia; Lagomorpha; Leporidae
Source: Ensembl